Molecule: ribosomal RNA, 1247 nt
Filed under: Sugarcane whiteleaf phytoplasma
Lineage: Bacteria; Bacillati; Mycoplasmatota; Mollicutes; Acholeplasmatales; Acholeplasmataceae
Description: bacterial SSU rRNA
Rfam family: Bacterial small subunit ribosomal RNA
Source: RNAcentral
GAAACAGUUGCUAAGACUGGAUAGGAAAUAAAAAGGCAUCUUUUUAUUUUUAAAAGACCUUUUUCGGAAGGUAUGCUUAAAGAGGGGCUUGCGUCACAUUAGUUAGUUGGCAGGGUAAAGGCCUACCAAGACUAUGAUGUGUAGCUGGACUGAGAGGUUGAACAGCCACAUUGGGACUGAGACACGGCCCAAACUCCUACGGGAGGCAGCAGUAGGGAAUUUUCGGCAAUGGAGGAAACUCUGACCGAGCAACGCCGCGUGAACGAUGAAGUAUUUCGGUAUGUAAAGUUCUUUUAUUGAAGAAGAAAAAAUAGUGGAAAAACUAUCUUGACGAUAUUCAAUGAAUAAGCCCCGGCAAACUAUGUGCCAGCAGCCGCGGUAAUACAUAGGGGGCGAGCGUUAUCCGGAAUUAUUGGGCGUAAAGGGUGCGUAGGCGGUUUAAUAAGUCUAUAGUUUAAUUUCAGUGCUUAACACUGUCCUGCUAUAGAAACUAUUAGACUAGAGUGAGAUAGAGGCAAGUGGAAUUCCAUGUGUAGCGGUAAAAUGCGUAAAUAUAUGGAGGAACACCAGAGGCGUAGGCGGCUUGCUGGGUCUUUACUGACGCUGAGGCACGAAAGCGUGGGGAGCAAACAGGAUUAGAUACCCUGGUAGUCCACGCCGUAAACGAUGAGUACUAAGUGUCGGGAUUACUCGGUACUGAAGUUAACACAUUAAGUACUCCGCCUGAGUAGUACGUACGCAAGUAUGAAACUUAAAGGAAUUGACGGGACUCCGCACAAGCGGUGGAUCAUGUUGUUUAAUUCGAAGAUACACGAAAAACCUUACCAGGUCUUGACAUACUCUGCAAAGCUAWAGCAAUAUAGUGGAGGUUAUCAGGGAUACAGGUGGUGCAUGGUUGUCGUCAGCUCGUGUCGUGAGAUGUUAGGUUAAGUCCUAAAACGAGCGCAACCCUUGUCAUUAGUUGCCAGCAUGUCAUGAUGGGCACUUUAAUGAGACUGCCAAUGAAAAAUUGGAGGAAGGUGAGGAUCACGUCAAAUCAUCAUGCCCCUUAUGAUCUGGGCUACAAACGUGAUACAAUGGCUGUUACAAAGAGUAGCUGAAACGCAAGUUUAUAGCCAAUCUCAUAAAAGCAGUCUCAGUUCGGAUUGAAGUCUGCAACUCGACUUCAUGAAGUUGGAAUCGCUAGUAAUCGCGAAUCAGCAUGUCGCGGUGAAUACGUUCUCGGGGUUUGUACACACCGCCCGUCA